AUGCCUGUACCAUAACCGACACAGGUGGGUAGGUAGAGUAUACUAAGGGGCGCGAGAUAACUCUCUCUAAGGAACUCGGCAAAAUGACUCCGUAACUUCGGGAGAAGGAGUGCCUUAUUUAUAAGGUUGCAAUAACAAGAUCCAAGCAACUGUUUAUCAAAAACACAGGUCUCCGCUAAGUCGUAAGACGAUGUAUGGGGGCUGACGCCUGCCCAGUGCCAGAAGGUUAAAGAAGUUGGUUAGUGUAUGCGAAGCUGAUGACUGAAGCCCUGGUGAACGGCGGCCGUAACAAUAACGGUCCUAAGGUAGCGAAAUUCCUUGUCGGGUAAGUUCCGACCCGCACGAAAGGCGUAAUGAUUUGGAUACUGUCUCGGAGAGAGGCUCGGUGAAAUAGACUUGUCUGUGAAGAUGCGGACUACCUGCACCAGGACAGAAAGACCCUAUGAAGCUUUACUGUAACUUGAAAUUGGAAUUGGACUUUGCUUGCGCAGUAUAGGUGGGAAGCGUUGAAGAUAUUCUUGCGGGAGUAUUGGAGCUAUCAGUGAGAUACCACUCUUGUAAUGUUAGAUUUCUAACUUUGAACCAUAAUCUGGUCAAAGAACAGUUUCAGGUGGGCAGUUUGACUGGGGCGGUCGCCUCCCAAAUGGUAACGGAGGCGUACAAAGGUUUCCUCUGAACGGAUAGAAAUCGUAUCUAGAGUGUAAAGGCAUAAGGAAGCUUGACUGUGAGACCUACAAGUCGAGCAGGGACGAGAGUCGGUCUUAGUGAUCUGACGGUACUGAGUGGAAAGGCCGUCACUCAACGGAUAAAAGUUACUCUAGGGAUAACAGGCUGAUCUCCCCCAAGAGUUCACAUCGACGGGGAGGUUUGGCACCUCGAUGUCGGCUCAUCGCAUCCUGGGGCGGUAGUACGUCCCAAGGGUUGGGCUGUUCGCCCAUGAAAGCGGUACGCGAGCUGGGUUCAGAACGUCGUGAGACAGUUCGGUCCAUAUCCGGUGUAGGCGUUAGAAUAUUGAGGGGAGCCUUCUUUAGUACGAGAGGACCGAGAAGGACACACCGCUGGUGUACCAGUUAUCGUGCCAACGGUAAACGCUGGGUAGCUAUGUGUGGAGUGGAUAACCGCUGAAAGCAUCUAAGUGGGAAGCCCACCUCAAGAUGAGUGCUCUCACAGGGUUAACCUGGUAAGGUCACGGGAAGACCACCCGUUAAUAGGCACUAGGUGGAAGUCCAGUAAUGGAUGGAGCCAAGGUGUAC
This 1253-nucleotide ribosomal RNA is filed under the name metagenome. RNAcentral's name for it is "bacterial LSU rRNA". It matches the Rfam family "Bacterial large subunit ribosomal RNA", at positions 1638 to 2901 of the family's 2925-position model. The record is from RNAcentral.